Molecule: ribosomal RNA, 492 nt
Filed under: uncultured bacterium
Lineage: Bacteria
Description: partial 16S ribosomal RNA
Rfam family: Bacterial small subunit ribosomal RNA
Source: RNAcentral
AGUGAACGCUGGCGGUAGGCCUAACACAUGCAAGUCGAACGGCAGCACAGUAAGAUCUUGCUCUUACGGGUGGCGAGUGGCGGACGGGUGAGGAAUACAUCGGAAUCUACUUUUUCGUGGGGGAUAACGUAGGGAAACUUACGCUAAUACCUCAUACGACCUACGGGUGAAAGCAUGGUAUCUUCGGACCUUGCGCGAUUGCAUGAGCCGAUGUCGGAUUAGCUAGUUGUCGGGGUAAAGGCCCACCAAGGCGACGAUCCGUAGCUGGUCUGAGAGGAUGAUGGGCAAAACGGGAACGGAGAAACGGUCAAGACUCCUACGGGAGGAAGAAGUGGGGAAUAUUGGAAAAUGGGGGCAAGCCUGAUGCAGCAAGACCGCGUGGGUGAAGAAGGCCUUCGGGUUGUAAAGCCCGUUUGUUGGGAAAGAAAAGCAGCAGGUGAAUACCCCGCUGUUGUGACGGUACCCAAAGAAUAAGCACCGGCUAACUUCGUG